RNAcentral lists this ribosomal RNA (921 nucleotides) under Diplosoma listerianum. RNAcentral describes it as "large subunit ribosomal RNA". The stretch from base 709 to 867 matches the Rfam family "Archaeal large subunit ribosomal RNA", at positions 2542 to 2701 of the family's 2987-position model. Lineage: Eukaryota; Metazoa; Chordata; Ascidiacea; Aplousobranchia; Didemnidae. The record is from RNAcentral.
GCAAUUUAUUUUUAAUUAUAUUUUAACCUCUUUAUUUUUAUUUUUUUUGAAAAAACAUUAAUUAAAUUUAUUUAAAAUCUUUUAGGUUGUGAUUAAAAGAUUAAAAAAAUAAUUUUUAUUUUUAUCGAAAAUAUAAGAUUUAUUUUUAUUUUUUAUUUUAAGUGAAAAUAGUAAAAAUAGUAAUGACAUGUUAAUCGCUUAUAUUAAUAUCUAUAUACAUUAAUAUAAUAGUAUAUUAUAAGGGACAGCUUUGUAAUUUAAAUAAAGAAAUAAUAAAUAAUUAUUUUUUUUAUAAAUAUUUGUUAAAUAAAUAAUGUGUUUUUAGUUUUAAAUGAGUAGUUUUUAAAAAAAAAUCUUUUUUUCUAAUAUAAAAUAAUUUAGAAACCUUAAAAAGGCACUAAAAAAAGUUUACUAAAAACAAUAUUUUUUGAUAUUUAUAAAAAAAAUAAAACAUCUUAACAGAUUUUUAUAGGUUAUAAAAUUUAAUUGAUUUUAUGUUUUAUAUAUUAUAUUUUCUUUUUAAGCUAUAACUAAAUUAGUUUUUUGGUAAAAUAUUCCAAAAUUUUUUAAAAAGAAGAAAAGACCCUUGGUGUUUUUAAUAAUAUAUUGUAAAUAUAAUAUAAAAUUUUUUUACUGGGGCAGUAUUUAUCAAUAAAAAAACGAUAAAGUUUUUUAAUUUUAAAUUUUUUUAAAUUAAAUAACCCUAGGGAUAACAGCGCAAUAAAUAAGAAUAGUACAUAUUGAUUUAUUUUUUUACGACCUCGAUGUCGGCUUAAAGUGUUUUUUGUGUGUAGCAGCUUAAAUAAAUUGGUUGUUCCCCAAUUAAAUCUUUACAUGAGCUGGGUUUAGAGCGGAGUGAUUUAGCUCGGUUUUUAUCUUUUUUUAGUAAAUAAAUUAGUACGAAAGGAAUUUUUAUUUUUU